GCAGGCUGAGGGUAACUGGAAGAAGCCGAGAAUUCCUCUGCUCUGCCUUCGGGAGGAGGGGAUGAGAGAAGCAGGGAAGACCAGCAGCAAUCUCUCCAAAAGAGAAGUUCCUCCAGCUCCUAGGAUGAGCAAGAUAGUAUAGACAAAAGAUGGAAAGAGGACAACCUAGGACCCCAGGGAGUCCCUGGUAUAGAUAUCAGGAGCCUAGGUCCCCUGUCUGGAACUGCUCUAGGGGAGU
Molecule: long non-coding RNA, 238 nt
Filed under: Homo sapiens (human)
Lineage: Eukaryota; Metazoa; Chordata; Mammalia; Primates; Hominidae
Description: HSALNT0243064
Source: RNAcentral